GUAACCUGCCUGUAAGACUGGGAUAACUCCGGGAAACCGGGGCUAAUACCGGAUGCUUGAUUGAACCGCAUGGUUCAAUUAUAAAAGGUGGCUUUUAGCUACCACUUACAGAUGACCCGCGGCGCAUUAGCUAGUUGGUGAGGUAACGGCUCACCAAGGCGACGAUGCGUAGCCGACCUGAGAGGGUGAUCGGCCACACUGGGACUGAGACACGGCCCAGACUCCUACGGGAGGCAGCAGUAGGGAAUCUUCCGCAAUGGACGAAAGUCUGACGGAGCAACGCCGCGUGAGUGAUGAAGGUUUUCGGAUCGUAAAACUCUGUUGUUAGGGAAGAACAAGUACCGUUCGAAUAGGGCGGUACCUUGACGGUACCUAACCAGAAAGCCACGGCUAACUACGUGCCAGCAGCCGCGGUAAUACGUAGGUGGCAAGCGUUGUCCGGAAUUAUUGGGCGUAAGCGCGCGCAGGCGGUUUCUUAAGUCUGAUGUGAAAGCCCCCGGCUCAACCGGGGAGGGUCAUUGGAAACUGGGGAACUUGAGUGCAAAGAGGAGAGUGGAAUUCCACGUGUAGCGGUGAAAUGCGUAGAGAUGUGGAGGAACACCAGUGGCGAAGGCGACUCUCUGGUCUGUAACUGACGCUGAGGCGCGCGAAGCGUGGGGAGCGAACAGGAUUAGAUACCCUGGUAGUCCACGCCGUAAACGAUGAGUGAUAAGUGUUAGAGGGUUUCCGCCCUUAGUGCUGCAGCAAACGCAUUAAGCACUCCGCCUGGGGAGUACGGUCGCAAGACUGAAACUCAAAGGAAUUGACGGGGGCCCGCACAAGCGGUGGAGCAUGUGGUUUAAUUCGAAGCAACGCGAAGAACCUUACCAGGUCUUGACAUCCUCUGACAACCCUAGAGAUAGGGCUUCCCCUUCGGGGGCAGAGUGACAGGUGGUGCAUGGUUGUCGUCAGCUCGUGUCGUGAGAUGUUGGGUUAAGUCCCGCAACGAGCGCAACCCUUGAUCUUAGUUGCCAGCAUUCAGUUGGGCACUCAAGGUGACUGCCGGUGACAAACCGGAGGAAGGUGGGGAUGACGUCAAAUCAUCAUGCCCCUUAUGACCUGGGCUACACACGUGCUACAAUGGGCAGAACAAAGGGCAGCGAAGCCGCGAGGCUAAGCCAAUCCCACAAAUCUGUUCUCAGUUCGGAUCGCA
RNAcentral lists this ribosomal RNA (1192 nucleotides) under Bacillus paralicheniformis. Its description in RNAcentral is "bacterial SSU rRNA". It matches the Rfam family "Bacterial small subunit ribosomal RNA", at positions 121 to 1302 of the family's 1533-position model. The record is from RNAcentral. Lineage: Bacteria; Bacillati; Bacillota; Bacilli; Caryophanales; Bacillaceae.